This 253-nucleotide ribosomal RNA is filed under the name uncultured bacterium. RNAcentral describes it as "partial 16S ribosomal RNA". It matches the Rfam family "Bacterial small subunit ribosomal RNA", at positions 524 to 776 of the family's 1533-position model. The record is from RNAcentral.
UACAGAGGGGGCAAGCGUUGUUCGGAAUUACUGGGCGUAAAGGGCGCGUAGGCGGCCUGCUAAGUCGAACGUGAAAUCCCUGGGCUCAACCCAGGAACUGCGUCCGAUACUGGUUGGCUUGAAUCCGGGAGAGGGAUGCGGAAUUCCAGGUGUAGCGGUGAAAUGCGUAGAUAUCUGGAGGAACACCGGUGGCGAAGGCGGCGACCUGGGUAGAUACUGACGCUGAGGUGCGAAAGCGUGGGGAGCAAACAGG